Molecule: transfer RNA, 74 nt
Filed under: Anaerolineae bacterium
Lineage: Bacteria; Bacillati; Chloroflexota; Anaerolineae
Description: tRNA-Leu
Rfam family: tRNA
About the family: Transfer RNA (tRNA) molecules are approximately 80 nucleotides in length. Their secondary structure includes four short double-helical elements and three loops (D, anti-codon, and T loops). Further hydrogen bonds mediate the characteristic L-shaped molecular structure. tRNAs have two regions of fundamental functional importance: the anti-codon, which is responsible for specific mRNA codon recognition, and the 3' end, to which the tRNAs corresponding amino acid is attached (by aminoacyl-tRNA synthetases). tRNAs cope with the degeneracy of the genetic code in two manners: having more than one tRNA (with a specific anti-codon) for a particular amino acid; and 'wobble' base-pairing, i.e. permitting non-standard base-pairing at the 3rd anti-codon position.
Source: RNAcentral
GGCGAGGUGGCCCAAUUGGCAGAGGCGGACGACUCAAAAUCGUCAUGUUGUGGGUUCGAGUCCCACCCUCGCUA